AUGGCUCUGGCUCAGUGGUAGAGUGCUUGCCUUACAUGCAUGAGGCUCUGGGUUCGAUUCCUCUGCACCACU
Molecule: non-coding RNA, 72 nt
Organism: Dipodomys ordii (Ord's kangaroo rat)
Lineage: Eukaryota; Metazoa; Chordata; Mammalia; Rodentia; Heteromyidae
Source: Rfam